Molecule: ribosomal RNA, 394 nt
Filed under: uncultured bacterium
Lineage: Bacteria
Description: bacterial SSU rRNA
Rfam family: Bacterial small subunit ribosomal RNA
Source: RNAcentral
AGCGAACGCUGGCGGCGGGGUUUAGGCAUGCAAGUCGCGCGAGAAAGGGGCAACCCGAGUACAGCGGCGUAAGGGUGAGUAAUAGGUAGCCAACGUACCCUGUAGACGCGGAUAAUUCCUCGAAAGGGGUUGUAAUACGCGAUGAGACCACGCGCACUCCGGUGCGAGGGGCCAAAAGGUCGGGGAUCCUUCGGGACCCGGCGCUAUGGGAGCGGGCGACCUCCGAUUAGCUAGUUGGUGAGGUAAUGGCUCACCAAGGCGAUGAUCGGUAGCCGGGCUGAGAGGCUGUCCGGCCACACUGGCACUGAGACACUGGCCAGACUCCUACGGGAGCUGCAGUCGCGAAUCUUCACAAUGGGCGCAAGCCUGAUGAAGCCACGCCGCGUGCAGGAUG